RNAcentral lists this long non-coding RNA (669 nucleotides) under Astyanax mexicanus (Mexican tetra). RNAcentral describes it as "lncRNA (ENSAMXG00005019835.1)". The record is from RNAcentral. Lineage: Eukaryota; Metazoa; Chordata; Actinopteri; Characiformes; Acestrorhamphidae.
AUGGUCAUGGAUGCACUACUUCAGUUACUAAUUCUUCCGAUUCUACUAAUUCAAUGUGAUGAUUUUCAUGUACAAAUCAACGGACUUAACAACCAUGAUGACAUAAAAUUGAAUGUUGUAAAAAUUAAGACCUGGCAUAUAUCAUGCACUGAUUUAAACCCAGAAUCUGCAAACAAGGAAGGGGAAAUCUGUAACUCUUACAAAGAAUGCGGAUUCAGUAAAACUACAGAAUUAAAGCAUACAGAUUGCGAAAUAAAAGAGAAAAAUGGGAAGUUGUCCAUAUCCUGCAAUGAAUGUAAAGAUGAAGGUUGUGGAUGGAAAAGCAACAAAAAGUUUAACAAUAUAAAACAUGCCAGUUGCAGAGAAAAUUUCAAAGAAAAAAAUUCCACAGACAUAAAUACAUGGAAGGAUGUUACAAGUGCUGCCUUAUAUCUGAACGGUACCAGAGAGCAUUUAACGCUCUAUUUGGAACGUACAGAGGGCACUGAUGGAGAAAACAAAGACGAACAAAAAGACCCAUAUGCUCCAACUAUUACAGAUUUCUCUGUCAAGAACAUUUCAGCGGGUGAAAUUAUCAUUAUAGUCCUCUGCAUCAUUAUACUUAUACUACUGGUAAGUAAAUCAAUGUUAUUUUGGCACAAUUACUUGUUGUUUCCUACAUUAUAUGUU